GGAGAGGUGGCUGAGCUGGCUGAAAGCGCCCGCCUGCUAAGCGGGUAUACGGUGACGAGCUGUAUCGAGGGUUCGAAUCCCUCCCUCUCCG
RNAcentral lists this transfer RNA (91 nucleotides) under Fidelibacterota bacterium. RNAcentral describes it as "tRNA-Ser". It matches the Rfam family "tRNA". From Rfam's summary of the family: Transfer RNA (tRNA) molecules are approximately 80 nucleotides in length. Their secondary structure includes four short double-helical elements and three loops (D, anti-codon, and T loops). Lineage: Bacteria; Pseudomonadati; Fidelibacterota. The record is from RNAcentral. RNAcentral also lists the same sequence under 1 other name.